RNAcentral lists this ribosomal RNA (370 nucleotides) under uncultured bacterium. RNAcentral's name for it is "bacterial SSU rRNA". It matches the Rfam family "Bacterial small subunit ribosomal RNA", at positions 527 to 896 of the family's 1533-position model. The record is from RNAcentral.
GUAGGGUGCAAGCGUUGUCCGGAAUUACUGGGUGUAAAGGGAGCGCAGGCGGGAAGACAAGUUGGAAGUGGAAACCAUGGGCUCAACCCAUGAAUUGCUUUCAAAACUGUUUUUCUUGAGUAGUGCAGAGGUAGAUAGAAUUCCCGGUGUAGCGGUGGAAUGCGUAGAUAUCGGGAGGAACACCAGUGGCGAAGGCGGUCUACUGGGCACCAACUGACGCUGAGGCUCGAAAGCAUGGGUAGCAAACAGGAUUAGAUACCCUGGUAGUCCAUGCCGUAAACGAUGAUUACUAGGUGUUGGGGGAUUGACCCCCUCAGUGCCGCAGUUAACACGAUAAGUAAUCCACCUGGGGAGUACGACCGCAAGGUUG